Molecule: non-coding RNA, 1166 nt
Organism: Triticum urartu
Lineage: Eukaryota; Viridiplantae; Streptophyta; Magnoliopsida; Poales; Poaceae
Source: RefSeq, a predicted model, not a curated record
GUUACUUUUUCUUUUUGUUUGACCAAACUCAAGUCCCCUUUCUAAAACUGCAGCCAAGCAGUACUUGCUACUGGAAUAAUCCCAUGAAUGAAUUCUUUGUUGUGGUCAACUCUUUCUUGUCUCUCUACUAGGAUUCAUGCACCAAGCCCAGAGUUAGAAUUUUGUGUCAGGCUGCUAGUAAAUCAGGCUCUACUCUGUCCAAUAGCAUGUUGAAUGGCACCUGCAGUUAAUUGCACGGACAUAUGGAUUUUGGUUCAUUUUGUACGUAUGUUUGUUUGUUCAUGCUUACGACUUUGGCUAAAACACGUUGGAUGCCCAAUUCCUAUGGUGAACCUUUUGGUUCAAGCAAGCAAACUGAUGUUCCCUUUCUAUGACUGAAGCCAAGCUGUACCUACUACUGGCAUAAUAUGAUGGAUUCAUUCUUUGUUUGUGGUCAACUCUUGUCUGUCUACUAGCAUUUGUGCGAGAACCUGAAUGUUGUGUAGGCUGCUGUGCUUUACUACCAGUAAACUAGUUUGUACUCUCUCCAACUGCAAGUUGGAUAGCCUUGCAAUUAAUUGUACAGACAUGCAUAUGAUUUUUGGUUCAAUUUGUAUGUAUGUAUAUGCUUAAGACUUUGACUAAAACUAGUUGGAUGUUCAGUUCCCCAUGAAGGUGACCAAUCCCUAGCAGUGCCCAUUGGUCCUUCCUGUUAAUUUCACCUCCUGUGAUUUUAAUCUUUGUUUCUUGCUUUCCACAACGACCAAGUUCUCUUAACUGCGGGACAUCUGAGUUCGUCGUGGUGAUGGCAGCUGACACGGAGCCGCUCGAAAUCUCCUCGACCUCCCGUCAUGUUUCUUGCGGACGGAAAGCUGUCCAGAUGACCAAGCCCAAGGAGGAAGCAGCUGCUCAUCACUGAGGACAAGUAACUCCAGCAGGUGAAGUAUGAAGUGUGAAGCCAUGAAGCCUAUCAGCAAGAGUAGCAUAUUAUGUAUUGUAAUAUCAAGCAAAGUGUAAUAUUAGUCAGAGUAGCAUAUUAUGUAUUGUAAUAUUUAGUGUUGUUUUGGAUGAAUUUCAUUUGCUCUAUAAUCUGUUUGAAAUAUUGACUGUGUAUAAUUUCCAUACCUAUGAAAUGGAAACCGGACCAAGGGGACCCACUUAUGAAAAUUGGUUGACAAAUUUUGAAA